GGACCCGCACAAGCGGUGGAGCAUGUGGUUUAAUUCGAUGCAACGCGAAAAACCUUACCUACACUUGACAUACUUCGAAUCUUUUAGAGAUAAAAGAGUGCCUUCGGGAAUGAAGAUACAGGUGCUGCAUGGCUGUCGUCAGCUCGUGUCGUGAGAUGUUGGGUUAAGUCCUAUAACGAGCGCAACCCUUACCCCUUAUUUUGCCAGCGGUUCGGCCGGGAACUAUAAGGGAACUGCCGGUAAUAAGCCGGAGGAAGGUGGGACGACGUCAAGGUCAUCAUGGCCCUUACGUGUAGGGCUACACACGUGCUACAAUGGGAGAUACAAACGGUCGCUAAAGCGCGAGCUGGAGC
RNAcentral lists this ribosomal RNA (353 nucleotides) under uncultured bacterium. RNAcentral's name for it is "bacterial SSU rRNA". It matches the Rfam family "Bacterial small subunit ribosomal RNA", at positions 917 to 1268 of the family's 1533-position model. The record is from RNAcentral.